Long non-coding RNA from Alosa sapidissima (American shad), 861 nucleotides. RefSeq lists it as uncharacterized. The record is from RefSeq and is a predicted model, not a curated record. The transcript is spliced from 6 exons. NCBI's taxonomy places the organism in Eukaryota, Metazoa, Chordata, Actinopteri, Clupeiformes, Clupeidae.
AACGUUCAUUUCUCAACAUUCCUACUCCUUUAAGGGUUAACAUGUAAAUGAAAAUGCUGUGAGCUAUACAAAUGCAAAUCAGGGUAGCAGGGAGAGUGAACUGUGCAUGCUGGCAUGACUGUGGCCUUUGGUCUUGCUUAAACAACUCCCAGUAAUACGCUCAACAGGCAGAAAUGAUGCUGGGUAUGACAUGUCUGUUCCCUGCAAGCUCCAAUAAUGUAACCUGACUUAAAACAGUCGAUAGAGUUUAGAUUCAGAUUUUCCCUUCACACCAACACAAUGAGAAUUUCAGAGGCAAAUAUAUAAAUGAUUGUCUUUAUCACUAUCUUCAUUCAACAAAAAUAUAUGCAAAACUGAAUGCAGAGAAUGGACAUCUGCUUUCGGAAAAUCAGAGCCAGCCGUAGCCUACCAGGGUUCACUCGGAGACACAUAGGCGCUACCGGAGCAAUGACUAACUUUGCCUCUUAAUGGGAUCGUGGGAGAGAAAAACUUUAAGAAGAGAAGACUGGUGCACAAUCCCAAGCUUGCGGAAGCAGUACGCCGUCUUCACAACUCGGAGACAAAUUGCAGGCGCUACGAACUGGAGCAAGGACUAAUCUCGCCUCAUAAUGAGGCGGUGACCUCCUAUUUGCUCGGAGCAAUAUCUGCAAGUCCAGAUUUACACGAUGUUGAUAAAGACGACAUUGUGUCCGCCUGUAAGACAUAUUACGAGACGGUACGCAGGAGCUUUAGAUAUACCCAGCCAGAAAACUCAUUGCGGGCGGAAGCUGCGAAGAGUUCAGCUCGGAGUCGAGCGAGAAGAAAGAGGCUGCUGGAAUCGAGACAGAGUGUGCUAGCAGAUGACGAGGUGGAACUCUGGAA